GAUGAACGCUGGCGGCGUGCCUAAUACAUGCAAGUCGAGCGAACAGAUGAGGAGCUUGCUCCUCUGACGUUAGCGGCGGACGGGUGAGUAACACGUGGAUAACCUACCUAUAAGACUGGGAUAACUUCGGGAAACCGGAGCUAAUACCGGAUAAUAUAUUGAACCGCAUGGUUCAAUAGUGAAAGACGGUUUUGCUGUCUCUUAUAGAUGGAUCCGCGCCGCAUUAGCUAGUUGGUAAGGUAACGGCUUACCAAGGCAACGAUGCGUAGCCGACCUGAGAGGCUGAUCGGCCACACUGGAACUGGGACACGGUCCAGACUCCUACGGGAGGCAGCAGUAGGGAAUCUUCCGCAAUGGGCGAAAGCCUGACGGAGCAACGCCGCGUGAGUGAUGAAGGUCUUCGGAUCGUAAAACUCUGUUAUUAGGGAAGAACAAAUGUGUAAGUAACUAUGCACGUCUUGACGGUACCUAAUCAGAAAGCCACGGCUAACUACGUG
This 497-nucleotide ribosomal RNA is filed under the name uncultured bacterium. Its description in RNAcentral is "partial 16S ribosomal RNA". It matches the Rfam family "Bacterial small subunit ribosomal RNA", at positions 28 to 507 of the family's 1533-position model. The record is from RNAcentral.